Molecule: ribosomal RNA, 494 nt
Filed under: uncultured bacterium
Lineage: Bacteria
Description: partial 16S ribosomal RNA
Rfam family: Bacterial small subunit ribosomal RNA
Source: RNAcentral
GACGAACGCUGGCGGCGUGCCUAAUACAUGCAAGUAGAACGCUGAAGGAGGAGCUUGCUUCUCUGGAUGAGUUGCGAACGGGUGAGUAACGCGUAGGUAACCUGCCUGGUAGCGGGGGAUAACUAUUGGAAACGAUAGCUAAUACCGCAUAAGAGUAGAUGUUGCAUGACAUUUGCUUAAAAGGUGCAAUUGCAUCACUACCAGAUGGACCUGCGUUGUAUUAGCUAGUUGGUGGGGUAACGGCUCACCAAGGCGACGAUACAUAGCCGACCUGAGAGGGUGAUCGGCCACACUGGACUGAGACACGGCCCAGACUCCUACGGGAGGCAGCAGUAGGGAAUUUUCGGCAAUGGACGGAAGUCUGACCGAGCAACGCCGCGUGAGUGAAGAAGGUUUUCGGAUCGUAAAGCUCUGUUGUAAGAGAAGAACGAGUGUGAGAGUGGAAAGUUCACACUGUGACGGUAUCUUACCAGAAAGGGACGGCUAACUACGUG